GAUGAACGCUGACAGAAUGCUUAACACAUGCAAGUCAUUGGCGAAGCUGCGCUUGCGCAGUCUAGCCAAGGCGGACGGGUGAGUAACGCGUAAGGAACUUGCCCUGCAGACAGGGAUAACAGACGGAAACGACUGAUAACACCUGGUAUUGUCAGGCUGGCGCAUGCCGGCCUGAUGAAAGGAGACGCUGCAGGAGAGCCUUGCGUCCUAUUAGCUAGUUGGUGGGGUAACGGCCCACCAAGGCGGGGAUAGGUAGCCGGCCUGAGAGGGUGAACGGCCACAAGGGGACUGAGAUACGGCCUUUACUCCGACGGGGGGCAGCAGGGGGGAAUAUUGGACAAGGGGGGCAACCCUGAUCAAGAAUUUCUGUGGGCAAAAAAAGGGUUUUCGGAUUGUAAAGUGCUUUCAGCAGGGAAGAAGAAAGUGACGGGACCGGGAAAAGAAGCGCCGGCAAAAUACGU
RNAcentral lists this ribosomal RNA (461 nucleotides) under uncultured bacterium. Its description in RNAcentral is "partial 16S ribosomal RNA". It matches the Rfam family "Bacterial small subunit ribosomal RNA", at positions 28 to 506 of the family's 1533-position model. The record is from RNAcentral.